CCCUUACAAAUGAUGAAUUAGACAUUUUACUUUCUUCCCGUUCUCCCUUUCAAUCAACUGAAACAAGAAUGCUCAAAAAAAUAAAUAAAAAAAUAAAAAAAAAUUGACUGAAACAAGAGAAACUCUUUCUCUCCUAUGAAAUUAAAUCCACCUCCGCCGAAACUCUUCUCACUCAAUUCGAUUGAAAGGGAUAGAUACAUGCAAAGA
This 207-nucleotide long non-coding RNA is filed under the name Salvia miltiorrhiza (redroot sage). RNAcentral's name for it is "long non-coding RNA (SMIL_LNC009031)". The record is from RNAcentral. Lineage: Eukaryota; Viridiplantae; Streptophyta; Magnoliopsida; Lamiales; Lamiaceae.